This 381-nucleotide ribosomal RNA is filed under the name uncultured bacterium. Its description in RNAcentral is "bacterial SSU rRNA". It matches the Rfam family "Archaeal small subunit ribosomal RNA", at positions 473 to 853 of the family's 1478-position model. The record is from RNAcentral. RNAcentral also lists the same sequence under 1 other name.
AUACCGGCGGCUCGAGUGGUGGCCGCUUUUAUUGGGCUUAAAGCGUUCGUAGCUGGGUCGUUAAGUCUCUUGGGAAAUCUGGCAGCUCAACUGUCAGGCGUCUAAGGGAUACUGGCGAUCUUGGAACCGGGAGAGGUGAGGGGUACUUCGGGGGUAGGAGUGAAAUCCUGUAAUCCUCGAGGGACCACCUGUGGCGAAGGCGCCUCACCAGAACGGCUUCGACAGUGAGGGACGAAAGCUGGGGGAGCAAACCGGAUUAGAUACCCGGGUAGUCCCAGCCGUAAACGAUGUGCGUUAGGUGUAUCGACGACCACGUGUCGUCGAGGUGCCGAAGGGAAACCGUGAAACGUACCGCCUGGGAAGUACGGUCGCAAGGCUGAA